GUCUUCCAACACAACAGUAAAGCAAUUCUUAUGCUCCUUCACUUUCCACGUAUUUAUCGAAGGGUGACUUACCUUUAUGCUAUGCUUCUCAGCACCUGCGCAUUUGGAAAGAGUGUUGAAAGAACAAAUCGCUGAGGGACAACCUAGGACACACAGACCCUGGAAGAAAAUCAUCGUUGUUGUUGAGGGUAUUUACAGCAUGGAAGGGGAAAUUUGUCAACUGCCUGAGAUUGUCUCAAUAUGCAAAAAGUAUAAGGUAAACCAUCCCCUUUUUUUCAGUAUCGAUGAGAGUUUAAGAAACUCUUUGGCAAAAGAGUUCUUGUAAGCUAAUUUCUCUAACAUUGUUUCAGGCUUAUGUCUACUUGGAUGAAGCUCACAGCAUUGGAGCAAUUGGAAAAACAGGCAGGGGAGUUUGCGAGCUUCUUGGAGUUGACACUGCUGAUGUGGACAUAAUGAUGGGAACUUUUACCAAAUCUUUCGGAUCUUGUGGUGGCUAUAUUGCCGGAUCCAAGGUUAGCAAUUAAUUAGUAUGUACUUUUUGUUUACAUAGCAUAUUGUUUAGGCAAGUGGUAGUGCACUUCAUCUUGAAAUCCGCCAAAGUUCUAAUAAUGGUGCUUUCAAUUUCUGCAGGACCUUAUCCAAUAUUUGAAGUACCAUUGCCCGGCUCACCUUUACGCAACAUCAAUCUCAACUCCUUCCGCGCAACAAAUCAUAUCGGCCAUAAAAGUUAUCCUUGGAGAGGACGGUUCUAACAGAGGUAUCUCUAUAGUUUGGUUUGCUCUCAUAAUCUUAAGUUAUAUAUAGUGUCUCAAAAUUCUGCUAAAACCCCUGGGCAGGUGCACAAAAGUUAGCAAGGAUAAGGGAGAACAGCAACUUUUUCAGGGCUGAGUUGCAGAAGAUGGGAUUUGAGGUUCUUGGAGACAAUGAUUCCCCAGUCAUGCCGAUAAUGCUUUACAAUCCUGCGAAAAUCCCAGCCUUCUCAAGGGAAUGCUUGCGAGAAAACGUAAGUGGAACUAUAUUAUACUUUCUCCCAAUAUUUAAUUUGCCUCCCAUACCAGAGAUCAUUAACAUCUAUGCUCAAAACUGUGAACAGGUGGCAGUUGUGGUUGUUGGUUUCCCAGCUACACCUCUGUUGCUAGCCAGGGCUCGUAUUUGUAUAUCCGCAUCUCACUCGAGAGAAGAUCUUAUUAAAGCUCUACAGGUAAACAAAAAGCUUGCAUCACUUGCUCUCUCCCUCCUAUAUUAUUUACCAUAGAGAACUCGAUUCUAUACAUAGUACUUACUAUAAAUGAUUCGAGUUCAUCCACAAAUUGAUUUUGUAUAUUAUAAAUUUGUGCGUGUUAUAUGACAGGUUAUAAGCAAAGCAGGUGACCUUACCGGAAUCAAAUAUUUUCCAGCGGCUCCAAAGAAGCAAGAAGAAGUGAAAGAUACCAUCAAAUUGGACUAAAACGAGGGGGUAAUGGCAUCAUCAAUUUCUAGUACCAGAAGAGGUUCGUCUUUUGUUGGUGUCCCUUCUACUUGUCUUGAAACUUUGUGAUCCUUCUUUCAUUUUGGUUCCUUGGUUUUGUCACAGUUAAAAUUGUAUAGUUGACUUCUUUAAGAACAGAUAUGACAUUUUGUGCUUCACGAAACUAUGUAAAGACCAAUCGUUUCUUUUUUCUUCUUUCCUCUUCUGCUUUGCUUCCACAGAUCGUCAGCAUGUGGGACUCGAUUCUUUUUACCAACCCGAAUGCCAAUCUUUCACAUUUAACUCUAAUCCACAACCAAACCUAAAAUCAUCAUAUAUCCAUGUCUCACUGUUUCGAUGUUCUUAAAAAAAAAAAAAANNNNNNNNNNNNNNNNNNNNNNNNNNCUCACUUUUUUGAUGUUCUUAAAAAAAAAAAAAAAAGAAGCUGUGUGAACAAAAUAAACUAAUUACCUGCUCCGUUUCUACAUACUGAGAUAGCUAAACACUUAACCUAUUCAAUUGCAAGUUCCUUAUCAUCAAGACCACCCGUGGAAACGUCUCAGGCGAAUCAAAAGGAGUAGAAAACCUUCUUCUUUUUCACUUCUACUUAUACAAACACUAGUACAGUAGCUAAUGCUACAAUCAAAAACUAAACAGCAAAGAUGAGAAACAAUCAGAGGAAUGGCAUACUAAGGCAAAAAGGACGAAAAGGCUUUCAGACAUUGCCAUGUCUGACUAUCUCACCAACAAACAACAAAAACACAGUCGAAAUUCUCCAACAUCCAUCAGGAGAACUCCCUACCAAGCUUCUGAAUAGCAGAGAACAUCUUCCUCCUGGACCCAACAGCAUUAAUCCCCAUAUCUUUCAAAUCCUCCAAGGUCAACAACGGCAAAACCUCUUCAUCAACCUCAUGUAUCUCAAACAUUGGCCAGUACCUCCCUAACCCCAGCUCUUGCAGCCAAAUCUUCACCCCUUCUCUUCCCUCCAUAUUGGAGGGCUCUGACAACUCAAACUCUCUGUUGUAAUACCCACCACCGUCUCUCACUAAAGACUCGUCCUUUAUCGGACUCUCCGAAUCUUCUCUACUGAAAUCCCUAUACCCCCCACCUUCCAGCUCAUCGCCGUGAUCCAUUUCCCCAACUCUCGACACCCAAUUGGAUCUCACUCGCUUCGUCGACGGCCCGACCCGUUUCUUGACCCGCCAGCUCCCGACACCGAAAGAAUCGACAUUCACUUCCCUUUCGUCACCUAGGUUAUCGUACCCAGAACUCAAUUUAUGCUAUGCUUCUCAGCACCUGCGCAUUUGGAAAGAGUGUUGAAAGAACAAAUCGCUGAGGGACAACCUAGGACACACAGACCCUGGAAGAAAAUCAUCGUUGUUGUUGAGGGUAUUUACAGCAUGGAAGGGGAAAUUUGUCAACUGCCUGAGAUUGUCUCAAUAUGCAAAAAGUAUAAGG
This 2905-nucleotide long non-coding RNA is filed under the name Brassica napus (rape). RNAcentral describes it as "long non-coding RNA (BNAP_LNC000510)". Lineage: Eukaryota; Viridiplantae; Streptophyta; Magnoliopsida; Brassicales; Brassicaceae. The record is from RNAcentral.